This 301-nucleotide ribosomal RNA is filed under the name uncultured bacterium. RNAcentral's name for it is "partial 16S ribosomal RNA". It matches the Rfam family "Bacterial small subunit ribosomal RNA", at positions 509 to 807 of the family's 1533-position model. The record is from RNAcentral.
CAGCAGCCGCGGGAAUACGUAGGAUGCAAGCGUUGUCCGGAUUUAUUGGGCGUAAAGAGUUCGUAGGCGGUUCGUUAAGUCUGAUGUUAAAGAUCAGGGCUCAACCCUGAGAGUGCAUUGGAUACUGGCGGACUGGAGUGUGGUAGAGGCUAGUGGAAUUCCCAGUGUAGCGGUGAAAUGCGUAGAUAUUGGGAAGAACACCGGUGGCGUAGGCGACUAGCUGGGCCAUAACUGACGCUGAGGAACGAAAGCCAGGGGAGCGAAUGGGAUUAGAUACCCGCGUAGUCCCUGUCUCUUAUAC